Long non-coding RNA from Myiozetetes cayanensis, 1496 nucleotides. RefSeq lists it as uncharacterized. The record is from RefSeq and is a predicted model, not a curated record. The transcript is spliced from 6 exons. NCBI's taxonomy places the organism in Eukaryota, Metazoa, Chordata, Aves, Passeriformes, Tyrannidae.
AGAAAGAGCUGGAGAUUCUGCAGGGAAAGAAAUCGUUAAUCCAUCCUGCUUGCCAGCCUGCCUGGUUCUGAAAGGGGCACUGUGACUUUAGCUUUGUUUUCCCAAACGACAUUUGGGACCAUGUACAAAUUCUACAAAAUUAAGCUUAUUUUGAAUAUGUCAUCAGCAUCCUAAUUCCAUAUAUGUUCUUAUAAAGGAAUCUCACUGGAGGGGUUUCCAUUAACUGCAUUUGCAAUGCUUCUUCCUGAAUACUUCAAACCACACUCUGUCUAUGCCUGUCCAUCACUGAGGUGAAGCAGCAAGAAGGUUAUCAUAUGGAAAAUGUCUCACAGGUUGCAUAUUUAAACACUGUUUGGAUCUAUUUGAAGGAAUAUUGUGGAAAACAUGGAACUGAGUGGAGAGAGACUGCAAAAAUGAGACUGGUUUCACCCCAGUGAGCAAAUGGCUUAAGACAUCUGUGGAUUGACUCAGUUAGCAAAACCAGGCAAACACAGCCCGUGAUGCUUCUGCUGACAGAGAACAAUUUCAGCCCCAUCUGUUCGAGCAGCGAGAGACCUUUCUGAUCACUCUGGAAGUCAGCAAGAGGAAAAAAAGUUCAGAAGGAGGCUUGGAAAAAGCCACAGAGAGUCCUAAUUAGGUAACUGUCCAGCUCCAGUCCUGCUAUGGCCAACGCCACGGGUGACUUCUCCAGGUGUCCCCUCCAGCCCCUUAGAGCUCUCUUCUAAAGAACCAACAUGUUAUGGACAAGAUAUGACACAAGUAGCUGCUGUUCCCACCACACGAGCCCUUGGCCAGCCUGGACCUGCUCCAGAAGCAUGGAAACCAGUUCAGCCAGACAUUGCUGCAAGGCAGUCCAGAAAUAUCCCAUGGACAGAAGGGAAAAGGGCAAGGUUACUAUUUGGAGGAUUUGGACUCCUUCCCAUCUUCUGCCAAGCAGCCUUGAGCAACCCCUCGCAGCACCUACCUUUUGAUACCCCGUGUUUUCAGACCGUGCCUCAGCGCUCAAGGGACCAGGCAAGGAAAGGAACACAGAAAGGGAGGAUGUUUUGUGGUCCCUCGCUCCCCCAUAAGAAACAUCCAGCAGUCCAGUAGAAAUACAAAGUAAUGACAACAGAAGAACUGGAAAUCGCUUCAAAGUCAAACUCAUAUCUUGAGAAACAUGAGGAAAAAUGUUACAAAGGAAAUAUCAAAGGCUCAAGAAGGAUUUUCCGAGGCACUUUGUUACUGAAGUUGUUACCACCCUCCCGCAGAGGCAAUCAAGACUAAUGGGGACAUUAGCACAGCCCAGGACUACACAUCAAAAGAGUCCCUGGAGCAAAUAACACCCAGCAACUGGAGCGUCGCUGGCACCGCGCUCCAAACCACCCCCCUCUGCCUCAGAAAUGAGUAAAAGGGUCGUAAACAGCAGAGAGAAAAUUUUUGCCUGGUGACUGCAAAUAAGCACCCAGCAGAGCUGUUAAAAGUUGCUUGCUGAAGAGAAAAAUAUGAUUCUUCCA